AGGGAUUUGAGAAUACGUUAAGGUUUAGGUUUAGGAAAUCUGGUUCGGGUUAUAGCUUUAGGUUUAGGUUAGGUUAUAGGUUAAGGUUUAGGAAAUUGAGUUUAGGUUAUAGGUUAAGUUUAGGGAGUUGAGUUUAGGUUAUAGGUUAAGGUUAAGGUUUAGGAAAUUGAGUUUAGGUUAUAAGUUAAGGUUAUAGGUUAAGGUUUAGGUUAUAGGUUAAGUUUUAGGUUUAGGUUAAGGUUAUAGGCUUAGGCUUAGGUUAUAGGUUUUGGGAUUUGAGAAUAGGUUUAGGUUAAGGUUAUAAGUUUAGGUUUAGGAAAUUGGGUUCGGGUUCGGGAUCGGGUUUAGGUUUGGGAUUUCAAGUUUAAGUUUAGGUUUGGGUUACGGAGUUGUGAUUAGGAUUAGAUGUAGGUUUAGGUUUAUAGAUUUGAGAAUACGUUAAGGUUUAGGUUUAGGA
Molecule: long non-coding RNA, 457 nt
Organism: Magnolia sinica
Lineage: Eukaryota; Viridiplantae; Streptophyta; Magnoliopsida; Magnoliales; Magnoliaceae
Exons: 3
Source: RefSeq, a predicted model, not a curated record